AGAAUCAACGCUGGCGGCGUGCCUCAGACAUGCAAGUCGAACGCGAAAGGCUCCUUCGGGGGCCGAGUAGAGUGGCGCACGGGUGAGUAACACGUAGGUAAUUUGCCUUUGGGUGGGGAAUAACUCAGGGAAACUUGAGCUAAUACCGCAUAAUGCAGCGGCUCGACAUCGAGACAGUUGUUAAAGCGGGGGAUCGCAAGACCUCGCGCCUAAAGAGAAGCCUGCGGCAGAUUAGCUAGUUGGUAGGGUAAUGGCCUACCAAGGCGACGAUCU
RNAcentral lists this ribosomal RNA (273 nucleotides) under uncultured soil bacterium. RNAcentral describes it as "partial 16S ribosomal RNA". It matches the Rfam family "Bacterial small subunit ribosomal RNA", at positions 26 to 282 of the family's 1533-position model. The record is from RNAcentral.